CAUAGCCUAAUUGAAUAUAUAUUAGGUGGUUACUGCUCAAUGUUGAUAUUAAUAGCCGUGGUAUAUAUGACCAUGCUAAGGUAGCAUAAUAAUUUGUCUAGUAAUUCUAGACUGGAAUGAAUGUAAGCACACGUAUCGAAUGUCUCCUGAGGAUUUUUUCGAGUUUCCAGUGAAGGUGAAAAUGCCUUCAUUAUUUAAAGGGACGAGAAGACCCUCAGAAUUUAAUUUAGUUUCACUGGGGCGGUGGCAGCAAGUAUCUGCAGUUAUAAAACAAGAUGGUUUGUGACAAGACAGAAAAAAUUACCUGAGGGAUAACAGCUUAAUUUCAUAUAUUAGUUUGUGACCUCGAUGUUGGACUAGGGAAUUCUAUGGCCAGAAGCUAUAGAAGUAGGUUCUGUUCGAACUUUUUACCCCUACGUGAU
This 422-nucleotide ribosomal RNA is filed under the name Pteraeolidia ianthina. RNAcentral describes it as "partial 16S ribosomal RNA". It matches the Rfam family "Bacterial large subunit ribosomal RNA", at positions 1827 to 2604 of the family's 2925-position model. Lineage: Eukaryota; Metazoa; Mollusca; Gastropoda; Nudibranchia; Facelinidae. The record is from RNAcentral.